UCAGGAUGAACGCUAGCUACAGGCUUAACACAUGCAAGUCGAGGGGCAGCAUGAUCUUAGCUUGCUAAGAUUGAUGGCGACCGGCGCACGGGUGAGUAACGCGUAUCCAACCUUCCCUAUAGUAGAGUAUAGCCCGGCGAAAGUCGGAUUAAUGCUCUAUGUUCUUCUUUGAUGGCAUCUGAUGAGAAGCAAAGAUUUAUCGCUAUAGGAUGGGGAUGCGUCUGAUUAGGUUGUAGGCGGGGUAACGGCCCACCUAGCCGACGAUCAGUAGGGGUUCUGAGAGGAAGGUCCCCCACAUUGGUACUGAGACACGGACCAAACUCCUACGGGAGGCAGCAGUGAGGAAUAUUGGUCAAUGGACGCGAGUCUGAACCAGCCAAGUAGCCGUGCAGGACGACUGCCCUAUGGGUUGUAAACUGCUCUUAUAGGGGAAUAAAGUGAGGAACGUGUUCCUUUUUGUAUGUACCCUAUGAAUAAGGACCGGCUAAUUCCGUGCCAGCAGCCGC
RNAcentral lists this ribosomal RNA (506 nucleotides) under uncultured bacterium. RNAcentral describes it as "bacterial SSU rRNA". It matches the Rfam family "Bacterial small subunit ribosomal RNA", at positions 24 to 518 of the family's 1533-position model. The record is from RNAcentral.